RNAcentral lists this non-coding RNA (25 nucleotides) under Rattus norvegicus (Norway rat). Lineage: Eukaryota; Metazoa; Chordata; Mammalia; Rodentia; Muridae. The record is from RNAcentral.
UGGAAGCCGCAGAAAGCCUCAGGAA